UACGGAGGGUGCGAGCGUUGUCCGGAAUCACUGGGCGUAAAGGGCGCGUAGGCGGCCUGAUAAGUAGGGGGUGAAAUCCUGCGGCUUAACCGCAGGGCUGCCUUCUAAACUGUCAGGCUCGAGCACAGUAGAGGCAGGUGGAAUUCCCGGUGUAGCGGUGGAAUGCGUAGAUAUUGCUCGGAAGGCCGGAGCCGAAGGGGCCCCACUGGUACGUAACUGACGCUGAGGCACGAAAGCGUGGGGAGCAAACAGG
RNAcentral lists this ribosomal RNA (253 nucleotides) under uncultured bacterium. RNAcentral's name for it is "partial 16S ribosomal RNA". It matches the Rfam family "Bacterial small subunit ribosomal RNA", at positions 524 to 776 of the family's 1533-position model. The record is from RNAcentral.